CCUUGUCCCGGCCCCGCCGCCAUCGCGUCCCCCUCACGCCGCUCCCGCAGGCCCGGACACGCCGAGGCGACGCUGCCUUUGUCCCACCCCCCCAGUCGCCAACAGCCAAUGGCAGCGCGCGGCACUGCCGGCGUGGUCGAGCGGGCACCAAUGGGAAGGCGCGUUAGGGGCGGUCAGGGCGGUGCGAGCGUUUCCAGCCCCGUGAGGAGGCCUGAGGGGCCGGGAAGGGGCGGGAGGAGCCAGCGGCGUUUCCCUUGCCCGUUAACGUUGGGCUCCGCUUCGUCCGCGGCACCGGUACCGGUACCGGAGCGGUGGUGCUCAGUGACCGCCUCAAGCACCGCCCAGGCCCCAGAGCCCGGCUGUCCCGUGCCACACUGUGUAGCGGCGGCUCCACCUCAGAGGGAUCGGAAGAGAGAGAGGAGGGAAGAACUAAACCAUGGUGGAGAAAUAAAAACAGCAGGAUUUCAAACAUCUUCUGCACCCUCAAGUCCGUGGAGAACUGAAUGCGCAGCUGUGCCAACAGAGAGUGCAUGGAGCAUCAGAGGCAGAAGCCUGAGGUGCAGGGAAGCAUGAGACAGCUGAGCCUUGAGAACAAGUGGCCCCAUGCCAGCAGCUGCAGCAGCACCAGCACCUUCCAGAACACCCUGGGAUGAAAAACCAGCUCUCACCCAGCACUGCUGCCUCCUCAUGGGGCCUUUGGGAGCCCAUCCCACUGGAAACCCCACUCGUGGCUUGCACAGAGCUCAGGUUCAGGCCUGAAAUAACUGCUGAAAUGGUAAUGAAAGCUUUU
Molecule: long non-coding RNA, 790 nt
Organism: Melopsittacus undulatus (budgerigar)
Lineage: Eukaryota; Metazoa; Chordata; Aves; Psittaciformes; Psittaculidae
Exons: 3
Source: RefSeq, a predicted model, not a curated record